AAGGAAUUUUCGUCAAUGGGCGCAAGCCUGAACGAGCAACGCCGCGUGGAGGAUGACGGCCUUCGGGUUGUAAACUCCUUUUUCGGGGGACGAUGAUGCCGGUACCCCGGGAAUAAGGCUCGGCUAACUCUGUGCCAGCAGCCGCGGUAAUACAGAGGAGCCAAGCGUUGUCCGGAUUGACUGGGCGUAAAGCGCACGCAGGCGGUCUGGCGCGUGGGGUGUGAAAUCUGGCCGCUUAACGGCCAGGCGCCAUCCCAUACGGCCGGACUGGAGGGCUGCAGAGGUCGAUGGAAUUGCCGGUGUAGUGGUGAAAUGCGUAGAGAUCGGCAGGAACACCCAGGGGGAAACCAGUCGACUGGGCAGCACCUGACGCUGAGGUGCGAGAGCGUGGGGAGCGAAC
RNAcentral lists this ribosomal RNA (400 nucleotides) under uncultured bacterium. RNAcentral's name for it is "bacterial SSU rRNA". It matches the Rfam family "Bacterial small subunit ribosomal RNA", at positions 356 to 773 of the family's 1533-position model. The record is from RNAcentral.